AGAGUUUGAUCCUGGCUCAGGNUGAACGCUGGCGGCGUGCCUAACACAUGCAAGUCGAACGGUGUUAUUUUGAAGGAAGCUUCGGCAGACAGAUAGAUAACAUAGUGGCGGACGGGUGAGUAACGCGUGGGGAACCUGCCUCAGACCGGGGGAUAGCAGCUGGAAACGGCUGGUAAUACCGCAUAAGCGCACAGUACCGCAUGGUAUCGUGUGAAAAACUCCGGUGGUCUGAGAUGGACCCGCGUCUGAUUAGCCAGUUGGUGAGGUAACGGCCCACCAAAGCGACGAUCAGUAGCCGGCCUGAGAGGGCGGACGGCCACAUUGGGACUGAGACACGGCCCAGACUCCUACGGGAGGCAGCAGUGGGGGAUAUUGCACAAUGGAGGGAACUCUGAUGCAGCGACGCCGCGUGAGUGAAGAAGUACUUCGGUAUGUAAAGCUCUAUCAGCAGGGAAGAAAGGCUCCGCAAGGAGAGAUGACGGUACCUGACUAAGAAGCCCCGGCUAAUUACGUGCCAGCAGCCGCGGUAAUACGUAAGGGGCAAGCGUUAUCCGGAUUUACUGGGUGUAAAGGGAGCGCAGACNGGNUAGCAAGUCUGAAGUGAAAGCCCGCGGCUUAACCGCGGGACUGCUUUGGAAACUGUUAACCUGGAGUACUGGAANGGUNAGCGGAAUUUCUUGGUGUAGCNGUGAAAUGCGUAGAUAUCANGAGGAANNNCGGUGGGNNAAGGCGGGCUUACUGGNCNGCAACUGNCGUUNNGNUCGAAAGCNNGGGGGAGCNAAAC
RNAcentral lists this ribosomal RNA (784 nucleotides) under uncultured bacterium. Its description in RNAcentral is "partial 16S ribosomal RNA". It matches the Rfam family "Bacterial small subunit ribosomal RNA", at positions 8 to 774 of the family's 1533-position model. The record is from RNAcentral.